This is an RNA transcript of Etheostoma cragini (Arkansas darter), 1110 nucleotides long. It is a transcript of the gene named mitochondrial ribosome recycling factor, with no coding region annotated. NCBI's taxonomy places the organism in Eukaryota, Metazoa, Chordata, Actinopteri, Perciformes, Percidae. The transcript is spliced from 9 exons. The record is from RefSeq and is a predicted model, not a curated record.
GUACUCCAUACGAUGUUUCAAACGCAAAAGAGGACGUCUCAAAGUGUCGGCGCGUUAUGAUGACGAUAAAAAUGUCAAUUGUGGUUUUUCUUUUCCCGAGCUAACAUGCUUCUGUUAAGACUGUAAACUUGAAAUUAUGGCUUUAACCCGUCUGAGUGGGCUGCGCCCCCUGCUGUGUCAGUCCCUUGUGCGACAAGUCAGGUCUCCCCUUGUGGCCACCUCCAGGGUACGUGCACCACUUCUGUGCCCCAGCACCACCUGCUACCCCCCCUGCACCAGGCUCUAUGCCACCAAGAAGGCAAAAGCCAAAGCCAAGGGCCUGACAGCUAAGGUGAAUAUUAAUUCGGCUCUAGUUGAAGACAUCAUCAGUUUGGAUGAAGUGAAGGGGGACAUGACAGCUGUUCUCAAUGCACUCAAAGAUGACUUCACACGCAACCUCAGCAUCCGAACCUCGCCAGGUGCUCUGGAUCACAUUGUGGUGACGACACAAGAUGGGAAGUUCCCUCUCAACCAACUGGGACAGGUCUCCAUGAAAUCCCCUCAGCUCAUUAUGGUCAACAUGAGCAGUUUCCCAGAGGCUACAGCGGCUGCCACCCAUGCCCUUAGACAGAGUAGCAUGAACCUUAACCCAGAGGUGGACGGGAUGAUCAUCAAGGUGCCCGUUCCAAAAGUAACGCGGGAACAUAGAGAAAACCUUGCCAAGCUGGCCAAACAGUUCGGCAACAAGGCUAAAGACUCACUAAGGAAAGUGCGAUCUAAUGCUGUCACACAGGUCAAAAAGACCAAGGAAGGACACUCAGAGGACACCAUACGACUCGUGGAAAAACAGAUUCAGCAGAUGGCAGACAACAUUGCAGAGGACAUUGACAAACAGCUUGCUGCCAAGACCAAGGAGCUGUUAGGCUGACUAAAAGGAGAAUAUUGUUUGUUUACUACCAACCUACAACUAACCAAGUUUUCUAAAGGAAGGAACCCGCUGUUAUUGACUUAUUAUCACCAUAUAAAGUUCUUGUGGUAAACUUGUUAGCAAAGAUUGUCUUAUUUACUCAUCCAGCAGAUAUGGGGCAUCUUUAGCAUUUACUUGGACUUGUGUUUCUGGCGUCACAAUGA